Molecule: ribosomal RNA, 460 nt
Filed under: uncultured bacterium
Lineage: Bacteria
Description: partial 16S ribosomal RNA
Rfam family: Bacterial small subunit ribosomal RNA
Source: RNAcentral
CCUACGGGAGACAGCAGUGAGGAAUAUUGGUCAAUGGACGCAAGUCUGAACCAGCCAUGCCGCGUGCAGGAAGACGGCUCUAUGAGUUGUAAACUGCGUUUGUACGAGGGUAAACGCAGAUACGCGUAUCUGUCUGAAAGUAUCGUACGAAUAAGGAUCGGCUAACUCCGUGCCAGCAGCCGCGGUAAUACGGAGGGUUCAAGCGUUAUCCGGAUUUAUUGGGUUUAAAGGGUGCGUAGGCGGUCGGAUAAGUUAGAGGUGAAAUCCCGAGGCUCAACUUCGGAAUUGCCUGUGAUACUGUGCGGCUAGAGAGUAGUUGCGGUAGGCGGAAUGUAUGGUGUAGCGGUGAAAUGCUUAGAGAUCAUACAGAACACCGAUUGCGAAGGCAGCUUACCAAGCUACUUCUGACGUUGAGGCACGAAAGCGUGGGGAGCAAACAGGAUUAGAUACCCGAGUAGUC